CGGGUGUGUUUGUAUUUGCUGCCACAAGUAGACCUGAUUUGCUUGAUGCUGCACUUCUGCGACCUGGAAGGCUGGAUCGGCUUCUCUUCUGUGAUUUUCCUUCACAGCAUGAAAGGUCGGAGAUUCUUUCAGUUCUAUCAAGAAAAUUACCAUUGGCAAGUGAUGUCGAUUUGGAUGUCGUAGCUCGUUUGACAGAAGGAUUCAGUGGAGCUGACCUCCAAGCUCUUCUCUCUGAUGCACAGCUUGAGGCUGUGCAUGAUCUUCUAGAUAGUGAAAAUGCAGGGAAGCCCGAUAAG
Molecule: unclassified non-coding RNA, 296 nt
Filed under: Hevea brasiliensis (rubber tree)
Lineage: Eukaryota; Viridiplantae; Streptophyta; Magnoliopsida; Malpighiales; Euphorbiaceae
Source: RNAcentral